CAACAAAAGAGACAGCUCUGGUGUGAAGAAAGCUGGUUAAUGAUGUAGGGCAUUCACGAAAGAUAUGGUCGAUCGUUUCAGCUCUUUCUCCACAUAGGGGGCAGCUUGUAUUGCUUACAAGCUUUCGAUGCUGCAUAUUAACCCAUAUCGAAAAAUAAUUCCAUGAGAUUCUCCAUAUUGUAAUCUUGAUUUUAUUUGGUAGAUUUAGGAGCCAUAGUUUUUUGUAGAAAUUUCUGUAGCCGGUUUGUAAAGGUAAGCUCUAGGGAUUUCAUCAAAAGUUAGUAAUAGUUUAUAGAAGUUGCGGACCGAAAACUCUCUUGAAUGCUCGCCUCCCCAGACCAGUAGAUCAUCAUGAGGUGCGCUUGCUAAAGGUAUUUAGAGGAUUUUUCCAGCAUCAUCCUCUAAAAAGCUCAAGAUCCUAAAGGAGAGGCAUCCAACAAGGGGAAAUCGAAGGUCAUCGAGUAGCUGACUUGGAAUUAUUUUACCCAACACAAGGUUUCUUGGACUCGACUUUUUGCGUAUUUGGGACCUUCAUCGAAGUCAUCACACCAACUUGCAACUUUUUGGUAUCUUCUUCUUAGUUGGUCUAAGAGAACAUUUCGGCAUGUAUAGGCUAUUAUGUUUUGUUUGAACUUUGGUAUGUAAAACUUUGGAUAGCCAUGCGAAAAUGGCUUAUAUACGUUUUUAGCAUAGUACUAUAAUCGUUUUGUAUGUUGAUCACUAAGAGGUAUGGAAAUGUUUGGAAACGGUUAGCCAUUGGAAUGGUUAAUCAUGAUUAUACUUUGUGCUAUGUAUGCAAAAAGGGCUAAUUGAAUCA
Molecule: long non-coding RNA, 817 nt
Organism: Gossypium arboreum
Lineage: Eukaryota; Viridiplantae; Streptophyta; Magnoliopsida; Malvales; Malvaceae
Exons: 4
Source: RefSeq, a predicted model, not a curated record